AUUGAACGCUGGCGGCAGGCUUAAGACAUGCAAGUCGAGCGGGGUGAUGGUGCUUGCACUAUCACUUAGCGGCGGACGGGUGAGUAAUGCUUAGGAAUCUGCCUAUUAGUGGGGGACAACACCUCGAAAGGGAUGCUAAUACCGCAUACGUCCUACGGGAGAAAGCAGGGGAUCGCUUGUGACCUUGCGCUAAUAGAUGAGGCUAAGUCGGGUUAGCUAAGUGGUGGGGUAAAGGCCUACCAAGGCGACGAUCUGUAGCGGGUCUGAGAGGAUGAUCCGCCACACUGGGACUGAGACACGGCCCAGACUCCUACGGGAGGCAGCAGUGGGGAAUAUUGGACAAUGGGGGGAACCCUGAUCCAGCCAUGCCGCGUGUGUGAAGAAGGCCUUAUGGUUGUAAAGCACUUUAAGCGAGGAGGAGGCUCUUUUGGUUAAUACCCAAGAUGAGUGGACGUUACUCGCAGAAUAAGCACCGGCUAACUCUGUGCCAGCCGCCGCGGUAA
RNAcentral lists this ribosomal RNA (503 nucleotides) under uncultured bacterium. RNAcentral's name for it is "partial 16S ribosomal RNA". It matches the Rfam family "Bacterial small subunit ribosomal RNA", at positions 30 to 523 of the family's 1533-position model. The record is from RNAcentral.